This 64-nucleotide transfer RNA is filed under the name Rattus norvegicus (Norway rat). It matches the Rfam family "tRNA". From Rfam's summary of the family: Transfer RNA (tRNA) molecules are approximately 80 nucleotides in length. Lineage: Eukaryota; Metazoa; Chordata; Mammalia; Rodentia; Muridae. The record is from Rfam by way of RNAcentral.
GGGGAUUUAGCUCAGUGGUAGAGCGCUUGCCUAGCAAGCGCCCUGGGUUCGGUCCCCAGCUCUG